AUGACCGCGGCAUUCAUAAGAAGAUCACGUCUUCGGUGGGUGAACCAACUCAUGCUCCCAGAUAUGAAGGAAUGGAAUGUUCCACUUAUCAAACAAAUUUUCUACCCUUUCGAUGCUGAUGAUAUAUGUAGAAUCCCAAUCCCUAGAUCGGAUGUGAGGGACUGCAUUGCCUGGCACCCUGAGAAGAAUGGGAUAUUCACAGUUCCCCCGAAGGUGAGAAUCUUCGGUUGGAGGGUUGCAACCAACACUUUGGCCACGAAAAGGAACAAGUUCAGGCGUACGAUCACGUUCGAUGUGACGUGCGAUAUAUGCGGCUGUGGGGAUGAGGAUGAACACCACGCAGUGGUGGGAUGCACCAAGAGUAGGGCACUCAGGCACAAAAUGAGGGAGGAGUGGGAUAUCCCAUCGGAAAAGCAUUUCCAGAAUACUGGCGAAGAUUGGCUACAGAUCCUACUGAGCUCCGUUCCAAAAGAUGUUCGCGUAAAAAUCUUGUUGCUGCUAUGGAGAUGCUGGCACCUCCGUGAAAAUUGCAUACAUGGGGAUGGAAAGGAGCCGGUUUUAGUAUCCGCCGCCUAUCUGUCGAAGAUGCAUGACGAAUGGAAGAACGUGGGUGUAGCCGAACAGGUGGAGGGGAAGGCGAUCUUGAUGGGUUUGCAAGCAUUGGCACCUCGCUAUAAUGGGAACAUUCUGAUAGAGACUGACUGCAAAUCUCUAGCGGAUGAUCUCCAAGGAAACGGGCAAGUCAGGUCAGCAAGUUAUGGAUUGAUUAUGGACAUCAGAUCGCUGCUUGGAGGUUUUCAGAGCAAGCAGAUCACUCAUGUUGAUCGUCAGCGGAACUCCCUUGCACAUGAGCUGGCAGCAGAAGCUAGAAGAUCUGGGGACUUUUUUCUGAUUGCUGAUGUCCCUAAUGGGUUGCGUAACUUGAUGUUCUCUGAAUGUAACCCCCUACUGGAGUAA
Molecule: ribosomal RNA, 957 nt
Filed under: Triticum aestivum (bread wheat)
Lineage: Eukaryota; Viridiplantae; Streptophyta; Magnoliopsida; Poales; Poaceae
Description: partial small subunit ribosomal RNA
Source: RNAcentral